This 253-nucleotide ribosomal RNA is filed under the name uncultured bacterium. RNAcentral describes it as "partial 16S ribosomal RNA". It matches the Rfam family "Bacterial small subunit ribosomal RNA", at positions 524 to 776 of the family's 1533-position model. The record is from RNAcentral.
UACAGAGGUCCCGAGCGUUGUUCGGAUCCACUGGGCGUAAAGGGUGCGUAGGUGGUGAGGAAAGUCGGAUGUGAAAUCUCCAAGCUCAACUUGGAAAUGGCAUUGGAAACUACCUUGCUGGAGGUUUGGAGGGGGGACUGGAAUACUUGGUGUAGCAGUGAAAUGCGUAGAUAUCAAGUGGAACACCAGUGGCGAAGGCGAGUCCCUGGACAACACCUGACACUGAGGCACGAAAGCUAGGGGAGCAAACAGG